GAUGAAGAACGUAGCGAAAUGCGAUAAGUAAUGUGAAUUGCAGAAUUCCGUGAAUCAUCAAAUCUUUGAACGCACAUUGCGCCCCCUGGCAUUCCGGGGGGCAUGCCUGUCCGAGCGUCAUUUCUGCCCUCAAGCCCGGCUUGUGUGUUGGGCGUGGUCCCCCCGGUUUAGGGGGGACCUGCCCGAAAGGCAGCGGCGACGUUCCGCCUAGGUCCUCGAGCGUAUGGGGCUUUGUCACCCGCUCGGGAGGGGCCUACGGGCGUUGGCCAUCCACCAUUUUUUUUUACGGUUGACCUCGGAUCAGGUAGGAGUUACCCGCUGAACUUAAGCAUAUCAAUAAGCGGAGGA
RNAcentral lists this unclassified non-coding RNA (348 nucleotides) under soil metagenome. RNAcentral describes it as "partial contains 5.8S ribosomal RNA, internal transcribed spacer 2, and large subunit ribosomal RNA". The stretch from base 1 to 120 matches the Rfam family "5.8S ribosomal RNA", at positions 35 to 154 of the family's 154-position model. The record is from RNAcentral.